Molecule: transfer RNA, 70 nt
Filed under: Heterocephalus glaber (naked mole-rat)
Lineage: Eukaryota; Metazoa; Chordata; Mammalia; Rodentia; Bathyergidae
Rfam family: tRNA
About the family: Transfer RNA (tRNA) molecules are approximately 80 nucleotides in length. Their secondary structure includes four short double-helical elements and three loops (D, anti-codon, and T loops). Further hydrogen bonds mediate the characteristic L-shaped molecular structure. tRNAs have two regions of fundamental functional importance: the anti-codon, which is responsible for specific mRNA codon recognition, and the 3' end, to which the tRNAs corresponding amino acid is attached (by aminoacyl-tRNA synthetases). tRNAs cope with the degeneracy of the genetic code in two manners: having more than one tRNA (with a specific anti-codon) for a particular amino acid; and 'wobble' base-pairing, i.e. permitting non-standard base-pairing at the 3rd anti-codon position.
Source: Rfam by way of RNAcentral
GGGAGUGUAGCUCAGUGGCAGAGCAUUUGUCUAGUAUAUAUGAAGCUUUGGGUUCAACCCCCUGCACCUA